RNAcentral lists this ribosomal RNA (497 nucleotides) under uncultured bacterium. RNAcentral's name for it is "partial 16S ribosomal RNA". It matches the Rfam family "Bacterial small subunit ribosomal RNA", at positions 28 to 507 of the family's 1533-position model. The record is from RNAcentral.
GAUGAACGCUGGCGGCGUGCCUAAUACAUGCAAGUCGAGCGAACAGACGAGGAGCUUGCUCCUCUGACGUUAGCGGCGGACGGGUGAGCAACACGAGGAUAACCCACCUACAAGACUGGGAUAACUUCUGGAAACCGGAGCUAAUAUCGUAUAAUAUAUUGAACCGCAUGGUUCAAUAGUGAAAGACGGUUUUGCCGCCACUUUUUGACGGAUCCGCGCCGCAUUAGCUAGUCGGUAAGGUAACGGCUUACCAAGGCAACGAUGCGUAGCCGACCUGAGAGAGUGAUCGGCCACGCUGGAACUGAGACACGGUCCAGACUCCUACGGGAGGCAGCAGUAGGGGAUCUUCCGCAAUGGGCGAAGGACUGUCGGAGCAACGCCGCGUAAGUGAGGAAGGUCUUCGGAUCGUGAAACUCUGUUAUUAGGGAGGAACAAAUGUGUAAGUAACUAUGCACGUCUUGACGGUACCUAAUCAGAAAGCCACGGCUAACUACGUG